AAAUUUCUACCAGGCAGGAAACAGCUAGAAACAAGGUUGAGUGUUCAGUCUUCCUUCCUGCAGGAAAGGUGAUUCCCUGGAUAAUUUCACAUUAGGCUUUAAGAGCUCCUUUCCUGUGGCAUUGUGGGGGUGGAAAAAGAAAAGCCAGUCUUUUAUCUUUAUGGAAAUCUCACUGUUCGGAUACAAAAGUCUGUAAUAGAGGAUUGUUCCGCCUCUUAAAGGAGAUCCGUGGGGAAAGACCUGGCUGGACAGCCUUUUACAUAGCCCCAGUGAAAACAAUGCAGGAAUCUGAAAAGGUCAUUAGGAAAAUAAAAACUUAAAGUCCUGAAAAGCUUUCUGACAAUUGUCCAAGGCCAUGCAGUCCUGAGGACACAGAGGACACCAGCCAUCCCUCAGCCACGACCCACGAGCCAACCCAAUCAGACCACAUCUUGUCUUUCAGGAAAAUGCACUGAAUUUUGUACCAUGCCCCCAAAAGCCUGGAUCAAAUUAAGAGUUUUAAUACUCAAAGUCAUUUAUAUUGUGUCUCUAAAGCAUAUACAAUAAAUGUACGCAUCACUCAGGAUAUAUUAAAAU
This 576-nucleotide long non-coding RNA is filed under the name Homo sapiens (human). RNAcentral describes it as "HSALNT0272836". Lineage: Eukaryota; Metazoa; Chordata; Mammalia; Primates; Hominidae. The record is from RNAcentral.